GCUCUGAUACAAGUGAAAUGUUUUUCUGUGAUUGAGUGUGUGGAAGGGGACUGAACUGGGAUUAGAAAAACAUGGAGGACGAAUUUGUUCAUUUUUUUGUAGAUAAAUGAGGGACUAAAAUUGCAAUUUAAAUAGUCAAUCAUAACAUUUAAUUUCAGAAUCAAAAUAAAUAAAUGUCUAAUUACGUACACAUACCAAUUACCAUAUCAUAUAUAACUAGAAAAUAAUAUUUGUAGUAACAAAAAUCAGCUUUAGCCCUAACUAUUGUUACAUACAAAAAAAAAAAGAGAAAUAUUUCUUCACAGAAAAUCUCUUCAUCCGAUCUAGAGAAAUGGGUGUGAUAGGUAGCCGACAGCCAGUCAAGUUACAGAACCAAUUUUUCUCGUCGGAUUUGUAGCUUUCAGAGAAAUAACACAACUCACAACAAAUCAUACAUCAACGAUGACGGUUUGCCUAUUUCUCUUGCACCCCUAUCCCAUCCAUGUUGUCAACGUGGUAAUUCCCACCAGUACAGUUUGGGGCUUUACACAGGCAAGGAACCUUGAAAUCCUCACAUUCGUCUGGAUCAAACAAGUAGUCGUACCUGUCAGUAUUGCAGCCAAAUGAAAUAUAUCAGGGGCGGACUUACAAAAUGUAGGCAUUAUUUUGUGUGAGCGUGUGCGAGUGCUGCAUACUUGUAUGAGAGAGAGAGAGAAAGAGGGGAAGAGAGAGAAAUACGUUAAUUCAUCACCAGCAGCCACAUUUGCCUUUGCGAUAAGUACAAUCCGACUCUCAUCAGCUCCUACACUCAUGAUCCGUGCAUAGCAGUUUGGCAUGCACUGUGCAAAUAACAAAGCAAAAACGCAAAAAGACUGUAAGAGGGACUCAUUGACAAAGGUUUUGAUAAGAAGGAGCAGCACAAAAGUCGAUAAGACAUGAAAAGAACACGGAAUACAAGAUCACUUUCUCAAGAGAAAAGAAGAGGAAUUAAUAAGAUCUACAGAGCAUGACAGAAGGAGAAGCAUCAUCAAAUAUAUAAUUCUAGUUUGAUUCCACAUAUGAAGAGAAGAGUCAGGAACAAUGAAAGAUAAGUGAUACUUACUGAAUGGUUAAUUAAACGUGCAAUGUUUCCCUUGUCAGUGGCAUCAACCACAACUUCUUCACUAAUCUUAAAUAGCUGCACAAGAUAAUUCAGCGAGAUUAGUUGGUGUUUGUGACAACAUACAGGUUGGAGAGAGACAGCACAAAGAAAGGAGUGAAAAGAACCUACAUAGCAAUCUUUUCCCUCAACACGAUAUCGUGCCUCCCUCAAAUCUGCAACACUGCGUCUGACCUGCUCACCACGAUACUCCAGAACCUGAAACAAGUAAACGUAUGCUCCACUAAGUGACUUCUAUAUUUGAUGCUGAAGUAAUUAGAAAUACGAGCACUUCGGUUAUUAACUGAUCCUCAACACAACAAGAUGAUCUGUAGCAUACUCAGGCAAGGAGGAACAACAUCUCAUUGGAAAUGUUCACAGGUUAUGACACAAAUCAUUGACUAUCAAGAAUAGCUCCUCAUGAUGAAAAGAUAAAGAACUCCAUUUUCAUGCAAUUACACGGACUGCCAUUUACAUCUUUUCCUAAUAUGAUCAAAGUACUGACUAGGGGUAACUAGUAACAACUAUAAAAGAUUUAUAUA
Solanum pennellii is the source of this 1659-nucleotide long non-coding RNA. RefSeq lists it as uncharacterized. The transcript has 3 exons. NCBI's taxonomy places the organism in Eukaryota, Viridiplantae, Streptophyta, Magnoliopsida, Solanales, Solanaceae. The record is from RefSeq and is a predicted model, not a curated record.